RNAcentral lists this ribosomal RNA (549 nucleotides) under uncultured Glomeraceae. RNAcentral's name for it is "SSU rRNA". It matches the Rfam family "Eukaryotic small subunit ribosomal RNA", at positions 548 to 1098 of the family's 1831-position model. Lineage: Eukaryota; Fungi; Glomeromycota; Glomeromycetes; Glomerales; Glomeraceae. The record is from RNAcentral.
UUGGAGGGCAAGUCUGGUGCCAGCAGCCGCGGUAAUUCCAGCUCCAAUAGCGUAUAUUAAAGUUGUUGCAGUUAAAAAGCUCGUAGUUGAAUUUCGGGGUCAGUAGGUUGGUCAUGCCACUGGUAUGUACUGGUCUCACUGAUUCCUCCUUCCUGAUGAGCUGUAAUGCCAUUAAUUUGGUGUUGCGGGGAAUCUGGACUGCUACUUUGAAAAAAUUAGAGUGUUUAAAGCAGGCUAACGCCUGAAUACAUUAGCAUGGAAUAAUGAAAUAGGACGUUCGAUCCUAUUUUGUUGGUUUCUAGGAUUGACGUAAUGAUUAAUAGGGAUAGUUGGGGGCAUUAGUAUUCAAUUGUCAGAGGUGAAAUUCUUGGAUUUGUUGAAGACUAACUACUGCGAAAGCAUUUGCCAAGGAUGUUUUCAUUAAUCAAGAACGAAAGUUAGAGGAUCGAAGACGAUCAGAUACCGUCGUAGUCUUAACCAUAAACUAUGCCGACUAGGGAUCGGAUGAUGUCAAUUUUUUAAUGACUCAUUCGGCGCCUUACGGGAAAC